This 501-nucleotide ribosomal RNA is filed under the name Bacillus sp. CSu2_23. Its description in RNAcentral is "bacterial SSU rRNA". It matches the Rfam family "Bacterial small subunit ribosomal RNA", at positions 49 to 528 of the family's 1533-position model. The record is from RNAcentral. Lineage: Bacteria; Bacillati; Bacillota; Bacilli; Caryophanales; Bacillaceae.
CUAUACAUGCAGUCGAGCGAAUGGAUUAAGAGCUUGCUCUUAUGAAGUUAGCGGCGGACGGGUGAGUAACACGUGGGUAACCUGCCCAUAAGACUGGGAUAACUCCGGGAAACCGGGGCUAAUACCGGAUAACAUUUUUGAACUGCAUGGUUCGAAAUUGAAAGGCGGCUUUCGGCUUGUCACUUAUGGAUGGACCCGCGUCGCAUUAGCUAGUUGGUGAGGUAACGGCUCACCAAGGCAACGAUGCGUAGCCGACCUGAGAGGGUGAUCGGCCACACUGGGACUGAGACACGGCCCAGACUCCUACGGGAGGCAGCAGUAGGGAAUCUUCCGCAAUGGACGAAAGUCUGACGGAGCAACGCCGCGUGAGUGAUGAAGGCUUUCGGGUCGUANAACUCUGUUGUUAGGGAAGAACAAGUGCUAGUUGAAUAAGCUGGCACCUUGACGGUACCUAACCAGAUAGCCACGGCUAACUACGUGCCAGCAGCCGCGGUAAUACGU